RNAcentral lists this ribosomal RNA (502 nucleotides) under uncultured Glomus. RNAcentral's name for it is "SSU rRNA". It matches the Rfam family "Eukaryotic small subunit ribosomal RNA", at positions 569 to 1074 of the family's 1831-position model. Lineage: Eukaryota; Fungi; Glomeromycota; Glomeromycetes; Glomerales; Glomeraceae. The record is from RNAcentral.
AGCAGCCGCGGUAAUUCCAGCUCCAAUAGCGUAUAUUAAAGUUGUUGCAGUUAAAAAGCUCGUAGUUGAAUUUCGGGGUCAGUAGGUUGGUCAUGCCACUGGUAUGUACUGGUCUCACUGAUUCCUCCUUCCUGAUGAGCCGUAAUGCCAUUAAUUUGGUGUUGCGAGGAAUCUGGACUGUUACUUUGAAAAAUUAGAGUGUUUAAAGCAGGCUUACGCUUGAAUACAUUAGCAUGGAAUAAUGAAAUAGGACGUUUGAUUCUAUUUUGUUGGUUUCUAGGAUUGACGUAAUGAUUAAUAGGGAUAGUUGGGGGCAUUAGUAUUCAAUUGUCAGAGGUGAAAUUCUUGGAUUUAUUGAAGACUAACUACUGCGAAAGCAUUUGCCAAGGAUGUUUUCAUUAAUCAAGAACGAAAGUUAGGGGAUCGAAGACGAUCAGAUACCGUCGUAGUCUUAGCCAUAAACUAUGCCGACUAGGGAUCGGAUGAUGUUAAUUUUUAAUGA